Molecule: transfer-messenger RNA, 352 nt
Filed under: Candidatus Coprocola pullicola
Lineage: Bacteria; Bacillati; Bacillota; Clostridia; Eubacteriales; Clostridiaceae
Also listed under: 1 other name
Rfam family: transfer-messenger RNA
About the family: Bacterial tmRNA, also known as 10Sa RNA or SsrA, is named for its dual tRNA and mRNA-like properties. Its role is to liberate the mRNA from a stalled ribosome. To accomplish this part of the tmRNA is used as a reading frame that ends in a translation stop signal.
Source: RNAcentral
GGGGGUGCAAUGGUUUCGACGGGAGCUUUGAAAAUAAGGAUAGCCAUUGGCAGCAUCGGUCACUGCCUAUCAAACCGAAACCUUUAAAAAGAAACGACAAAGAUUAUUCUUUAGCAGCAGCCUAAGCGCUGCUCGUCAGCCUCUAGUCGACCACUGCUAGAGAUGCUGGCGCCGAAUAGGUGGUGCACUUUCUGUCAUAAGCUUUGCCGGCAGAAAAGAUUUAUGAAGCUACCAAAGGUAACAGCCUGCUUUUCGGCGGUUAUCUGAGGGAAUGUAAAAAGAAAAGCUGUAAUGGGAGAAGUCCUUAUGGAAGGGUUUUCGGACAGGAGUUCGAUUCUCCUCACCUCCAUUC